This 301-nucleotide ribosomal RNA is filed under the name uncultured bacterium. RNAcentral's name for it is "partial 16S ribosomal RNA". It matches the Rfam family "Bacterial small subunit ribosomal RNA", at positions 509 to 808 of the family's 1533-position model. The record is from RNAcentral.
CAGCAGCCGCGGUAAUACGUAGGUCCCGAGCGUUGUCCGGAUUUAUUGGGCGUAAAGCGAGCGCAGGCGGUUAGAUAAGUCUGAAGUUAAAGGCUGUGGCUUAACCAUAGUACGCUUUGGAAACUGUUUAACUUGAGUGCAAGAGGGGAGAGUGGAAUUCCAUGUGUAGCGGUGAAAUGCGUAGAUAUAUGGAAGUACACCGGUGGCGAAAGCGGCCCUCUGGCUUGUAACUGACGCUGAGGCUCGAAAGCGUGGGGAGCAAACAGGAUUAGAUACCCGCGUAGUCCCUGUCUCUUAUACA